GACGAACGCUGGCGGCGUGCUUAACACAUGCAAGUCGAGCGGUAAGGCCCUUUCGGGGGUACACGAGCGGCGAACGGGUGAGUAACACGUGGGUGACCUGCCUUUAGCUCUGGGAUAAGCCUGGGAAACUGGGUCUAAUACCGGAUAUGACUCCGCGGUGCAUGCUGUGGGGUGGAAAGCCUUGUGCGGCUGGAGAUGGGCCCGCGGCCUAUCAGCUUGUUGGUGGGGUGAUGGCCUACCAAGGCGACGACGGGUAGCCGGCCUGAGAGGGCGGCCGGCCACACUGGGACUGAGACACGGCCCAGACUCCUACGGGAGGCAGCAGUGAGGAAUAUUGCACAAUGGGGGCAACCCUGAUGCAGCAACGCCGCGUGAACGAAG
RNAcentral lists this ribosomal RNA (381 nucleotides) under uncultured bacterium. RNAcentral describes it as "bacterial SSU rRNA". It matches the Rfam family "Bacterial small subunit ribosomal RNA", at positions 28 to 410 of the family's 1533-position model. The record is from RNAcentral.